GUGGCCAGGGCUUGGCUGGGACGGCCCGGUUGAGAUGACCGUUGUAGACGACGAUCAGCUGCCAAACCGCCAGCUCGGGUUCCCUUUGGUCACAUGAGCUGGGUCACAUGAGCCAUUGGGGGCAGCCAGUGGUGCUGCUGGCCUUGCCUCUUCAUGCGGUGGGAAAACAUUCCAACAGCUGGCCUCGGACUGUUUCAGAAACAUCUGCAAUGUUCGUCACUGGUGAGAAUCCCAAACUCCCGCUGCUCCAGAACAUGACCUUAUGAUAAUAAGUUGGGUUGGUCUCUGCCCAUGCUCAUCGUCCCACCAGUUCCUGUUGGUACUCUGCCAGUAUCUCAGGCUUUAACACUUGACUUUCCGUUGGAGUUCUACAUGAGCUACUGGAUUUCCACUGAUGCAACUGAUAAACAAGAGAGGACAGGAUUCAUGGCGCCUAACGUGGCUGGUGCUGCACAAAGGCACAGGCAGGUAGAACAGCUCCAAACAGUUGAGCUGCACGCUACGCUGGUGUAAUCAUGGCAGAACAGGAACACUGCAUGUUAAAUCAACUAUUUUUUUAUGUUAUGUUGGUUGCUGCACAAUAGCAUUACUACAUUCAAUAAAGUAGCAGUUUGGAUUUUAUGGACA
Long non-coding RNA from Poecilia latipinna (sailfin molly), 627 nucleotides. RefSeq lists it as uncharacterized. The transcript is spliced from 2 exons. NCBI's taxonomy places the organism in Eukaryota, Metazoa, Chordata, Actinopteri, Cyprinodontiformes, Poeciliidae. The record is from RefSeq and is a predicted model, not a curated record.